RNAcentral lists this unclassified non-coding RNA (342 nucleotides) under soil metagenome. RNAcentral's name for it is "partial contains 5.8S ribosomal RNA, internal transcribed spacer 2, and large subunit ribosomal RNA". The stretch from base 1 to 120 matches the Rfam family "5.8S ribosomal RNA", at positions 35 to 154 of the family's 154-position model. The record is from RNAcentral.
GAUGAAGAACGUAGCGAAAUGCGAUAAGUAAUGUGAAUUGCAGAAUCCAGUGAAUCAUCGAAUCUUUGAACGCACAUUGCGCCCGCCAGCAUUCUGGCGGGCAUGCCUGUUCGAGCGUCAUUUCAACCCUCGACCUCCCUUUGGGGAAGUCGGCGUUGGGGACCGGCAGCACACCGCCGGCCCUGAAAUGGAGUGGCGGCCCGUCCGCGGCGACCUCUGCGUAGUAAUCCAACUCGCACCGGAACCCCGACGCGGCCACGCCGUAAAACACCCAACUUCUGAACGUUGACCUCGAAUCAGGUAGGACUACCCGCUGAACUUAAGCAUAUCAAUAACGGAGGA